CUUGAAGUGUGCUUCAGAUCAGUUGGUUCAGGUUCAAGGAUAUCUUGUGAUAAAGAUAUACCAUCACACUCUCUGAGUAAAACAUAAAUAGGUUCAAUUUGUUCAUUAAAUUUUGCCAGUAAAGUCCGAGCAUCUUUCUGCAUAACGGCACUUUCGUCUUCUACAACCUCUUCACUACAGUAUGUACAGAUAAACUUUUGCGUACUCAAAUCAAAUAACUGGUCCACUUCCAAAUCAGUGAAAGUUUUCUCACAUCCAGGGCAUUUAAACGAUGCUCGACUUGUAUUGUCUCUCUCCUCCAUUUCUAUUUUUCGUCGAACAUGAUCCAGUUUAUAUUUGACAACGUUUACAAACAUUAAAUAAUUGAUAAAAUAAUAAUUAUGGCGCGUCAUUUUACCUUCUGUAUCUGUCUCCACUCUCAUACGGAAUUUCAAAAAUUUCUCACUUUUCAGAGUGUUUAUAUAAGACCUUAACUGUUUCCUAUCAUACUUCAAUAGUUCGAUGAUGUCAUCUUCCUUCAUACAUGGAUUACGUACCAAUAAGUCAAUAACAAUGGCGUGCUCUAUACUAUAAAAACCACGGGUUACGAGUCUUAUCAAACGUUUUAAUGACUCUGGCACUUCUGUCAACACUUCUGGUUCCAUCUUACACUAAAAUGGAUGGCUUUCAGUUAUACAUGUGCUUCU
RNAcentral lists this long non-coding RNA (686 nucleotides) under Mytilus galloprovincialis (Mediterranean mussel). Lineage: Eukaryota; Metazoa; Mollusca; Bivalvia; Mytilida; Mytilidae. The record is from RNAcentral.